This 181-nucleotide non-coding RNA is filed under the name Opitutaceae bacterium. RNAcentral describes it as "6S RNA". It matches the Rfam family "6S / SsrS RNA". From Rfam's summary of the family: E. coli 6S RNA was the first non coding RNA to be sequenced, but its function was unknown until recently. The record is from RNAcentral. Lineage: Bacteria; Pseudomonadati; Verrucomicrobiota; Opitutia; Opitutales; Opitutaceae.
GACACCCUGCAGUGUACGAGGUGCUUUCAUUAACAGCUCUUUGCCUUUGAAAUAAUCCGGGAGCCGCAAACGACGGCGGGAUGCCAGGCCGUAAACCGGAAGGCAAAAAACCGUCUGGUGGCACCCACCUUUCUACAAAAAGGUCACGAGCCUUUGAGCGCACGGCACAGGUGGGGUGUCA